RNAcentral lists this ribosomal RNA (253 nucleotides) under uncultured bacterium. RNAcentral's name for it is "partial 16S ribosomal RNA". It matches the Rfam family "Bacterial small subunit ribosomal RNA", at positions 524 to 776 of the family's 1533-position model. The record is from RNAcentral.
UACGUAGGGGGCAAGCGUUGUCCGGAUUUAUUGGGCGUAAAGAGCGUGUAGGCGGUUAUACAGGUCCGCUGUGAAAACUGGAGGCUUAACCUCCAGACGUCGGUGGAAACCGUAUGACUAGAGUCCGGAAGAGGAGAGUGGAAUUCCUGGUGUAGCGGUGAAAUGCGCAGAUAUCAGGAAGAACACCCGUGGCGAAGGCGGCUCUCUGGGACGGUACUGACGCUGCGACGCGAAAGCGUGGGGAGCGAACAGG